Molecule: RNA transcript, 5482 nt
Organism: Columba livia (rock pigeon)
Lineage: Eukaryota; Metazoa; Chordata; Aves; Columbiformes; Columbidae
Gene: TBL3
Gene name: transducin beta like 3
Exons: 23
Source: RefSeq, a predicted model, not a curated record
ACUUAGGCGCGCCGGAAGUGGCGACCUUCUCCCGUAGCAACCGGGGAGCGCCGGAAGCGGCCGGCACGCGGAGCCAGACAUGGAGGCGGCAGCGGCCGUCAGCCCCGUGCGCUUCAAGAGCAACUACGCCGUGUCGAGGAAGAUCGAACCUUUCUACACAGGGGGACGGGUCCAGAUAACCCGGGAUGGGAAGUUCAUGCUUUGCCCCUGCGGGACCCGGCUGAACGUGAUCGAUGUGGAGACGGGGGCUCAGCGCAGCCUGCAGCAGGAUGACGAAGAAGAAAUCACCUCGUUUGCUCUUAGCCCCGAUGAUGAGAUCCUCGUGACAGGGAGCCGAGCGCUGCUGCUGAAGCAGUGGAAGUGGCGAGAGAACGAGUGUGUUCGCACGUGGAGAGCCGUGCACGUGGCGCCAGUCGCCAGCAUGGCCUUCGACUCCACUUCAACGUUGUUGGCCACAGGCGGCUGUGACAGCACCAUUAAGAUCUGGGAUAUGAUCAAGCAGUACUGCACGCACAACCUGAAAGGAUCCUCAGGAGUUGUUCACCUUGUCGAGUUCCACCCUGACAUCUCCCGUCUGCAACUCUUCUCCUCCUCAAUUGACUACAAAAUCCGCAUCUGGGACCUGAAAUCCAGCAAAUGUGUGGCUGCCCUGGACGGUCACUUCAGCGCUGUCACCUCACUGGCGUUUGCUGAUGGAAACACGCUCGUUAGUUCUGGCCGUGAUAAAAUCUGCAUGGUGUGGGACCUGAAAACCAGAGAAAGCAAACGAACCAUCCCUGUCUAUGAGAGCGUGGAAGCUGCCAUUUUAUUACCUGAGAAGGGAGAUUUCUCACAACUGGGCGUGAAGAAACAAGGGUUGCACUUGGUCACAGCUGGCAGCAAAGGUGUCCUGAAAGUGUGGGAAGUGGCCACAGCUGCCUGUGUGUUCACCCAGCCCGUGCCCUUUGAGUUGAAGGAGGAGGCGAGUGAGCGCAGCCUCACCCAGUGCACGUUCGUACCUGCAAGAAAUGAGAUUGUCACUGUGUCCGUGGAACACAACAUUGUUUUAUACGAUGCUCAGACUCUCCAGCUCAGGAAGCAGCUCGCAGGGUACAACGACGAGGUUCUGGAUGUGAAGUUCGUGGGGCCGGGUGAUUCUCACAUCGUUGUGGCCACCAACAGCCCUCAGCUGAAGGUGUUUGAGCUGGCGACAUCACACUGCCAGAUCCUCUAUGGCCACACAGAAACAAUUCUUGCUUUGGAUGUCUUCAGAAAAGGCCUGAUGUUCGUCAGCUGCGCUAAGGACAAAAGCCUUCGAGUCUGGCGGAUGAACAAGGAUGGAAGGGUGACCUGUGUUGCCCAAGGACUGGGCCAUGCACAUGGCGUGGGUGCUGUCUCUUGCUCACGACUGAAAGAAAACUUCAUAGUAACCAGCAGCCAGGACUGCACGAUCAAGAUCUGGAAUAUCCCGGAAUCCCUCACUUCCAAAGCAAAAGCAGCCUUGAUUUCCAGCCCAGAAACCCUUCACGCAAAAGUGACUGAGAGGGGUCACAACAAGGACAUCAACAGCGUGGCCGUUUCUCCGAACGACAAGCUCAUUGCCAGCGGCUCGCAGGACCGCCUGGCCAAGCUGUGGUCCUGCUCCGAUUGCUCUUUGCUGGGCGUCUUCACUGGCCACAAGCGCGGAAUCUGGUGUGUGCAGUUCUCCCCCGUGGAUCAGGUCUUGGCCACCUCUUCUGCAGACGGGACCCUGAAGCUUUGGGGUCUUCGGGACUUCAGCUGCCUGAAGACCUUUGAAGGUCAUGACGCCUCUGUGCUGAAGAUCAUUUUUGUAAGCCGAGGAGCACAACUGCUCAGCAGCGGUUCUGAUGGUCUCUUAAAACUCUGGACAAUUAAAACAAAUGAGUGUGUGAAAACGUUAGAUGGUCACGAAGAUAAAAUCUGGGGUCUUCACUCCAACAAGCAAGAUGAUACGGUUGUGACAGCAUCCAGCGACUCGUGCAUCACGCUGUGGAAGGAUGUCACUGAAAUUGAAGAGAAAGAGGCACAAGCUAAACAGGAGGAGCAGAUAAUAAAAGAGCAAGAGCUUUCUAACCUGCUUCAUGAGAAAAGGUACCUCAAAGCUCUAGGGCUGGCAAUCUCUCUGGAUCGUCCGCACACGGUGUUGAUGGUGGUCAAAGCCAUCCUCAAGGAAACCGAUGGGAGAAAACACUUGGAAGAGAACAUUGCUCGGCUGCGGAAGGAUCAGAAAGAGGCAGUGUUAUCGUUCCUGGUGACAUGGAACACGAACUCUCGAAACUGCCACGAGGCCCAGGCUGUCAUUGAAACCCUCCUGAAGCACGAGGCGCCGGAUGAGCUCCUACAGUACUCAGGCAUCAAACCCGCAGUGGAGUCCCUGCUGCCGUACACCGAGCGGCAUUUCCAGCGGCUGAGCCGGUUGCUCCAGGCCUCCAUGUUCAUCGAUUUCAUGUGGCAAAACAUGAGGCUGGCUGAUGCAGCACCACAGGAGGAGGUGACGCUGUGACCCCCCCUCCCGCCAGCUGCUCUGUGCGGAGGGGACACUCUGAACUGCUUCCCUACCAGCAGUAACUGCAGCUCUGGGUUUCCUGGAUGACUGUCCCUUCCUGGGUCUGGGUUUCCCUCCGCAGCACUCGGGAGUAACGCAAGAACUACCAGGAAAUGUCCACAUAUCACAUCGCAGGGGAAAAGCCUGCCUGAGGGAGAACGAGCUGGAUCCCGCGUCACCUCGAGACGACACGGGAGCUGCCAGACCCGCGGCUGCUGCGACUCCCCUCAGCGGCACACCCCAGUUCAACCACUAAACCCCCCGCUGAACUCCAGUAAAGCCCCUCCUGCCCCCCAGCCUCCCUGGGGAAGCCACUGCUCGAGUCACUGUUCCCCAGGGAAGCGAUGUUUGCACGUGUGUCCCUAGAAGAUGACAGUCCCAAGCCCUGACGCUGCCCACAGACAUUGGUGAGGAGGGUGCCCAGUGCUCAGUCACAGUGCUGGCCCAGGGCUGGGUCCUUGUCCCCCUGGGGACACUAGUGGACAUUGGGCAGAGGGAGCAGAGCCUGGAGGGCUGGGCGGGAGGACGACUGCUGCACGGCUCGCUUGGUGAUGGUGCUGCACUUCUGGAGGAUCUCGUGGGCCGAGGGACGUGCAGGCACCUUGGGGACACAAGCGGCCAAGUCGGGGUCAGGGAGGGAGCAGCUGAGAUCCACUGUGGAUGACUCCACAAAGCCAGAGUCCUUCCUGUCCUCGUGGGUGAGGCGUGGGGACUUGCUGCUGUGCAUGGCUGAGUCGUGGCCCCGGGGAGAGCUCCUGCCCUGCUCCACCUCAGGCAGAGAUCGAGACAAAUCAGGUUUCCAGCCCAGCCGGCCGUCGUGCUCGCUGCCGCUCCCCGAGCUGAGGGGUGAGCUGUCCAACUCCAGGUCUGGGGUGGAGCUGACCCUGGGCAGAGACCUUGAUCUGCUCCUCAGAGAGUUCCCGUCCUCAGUCUGCUCAGGGGAAGAGCGAACCUGGACCCUGUGCUGUCCCGUAGGCGACGGAGCCAUCGGGGAGGAGCAGAGGUUGGGGGUGGAGAUGUUGAGCCCGGAGUUCAUGAUGCUCUGGAGCUUGUGGUGGGGAUUCUUGUAGGGCUGGAGGCACAUGGAGGGCAGGUACCCAGUACAGCUGUUGUAGCUGAGGAGAAAGGAUGAAAAAACUGAAAAGAGCUCCAAGCACCCAGGGGAGCUGGUGAGGACUCGGCCCGGGCAGUGCACGGGGCAGGAGGAAUGGGAAACCACUCUGGCCAAGGACAGUCAGCUCAGGGGGCUCCUCUACACCCUGCCUGGGGAGAGCGGGCAAGAAGCACCUGCAGCUGGUAACUGGCUCCCUCAGGAGUGAGAGCUUCAGAAAAUCUUUACCGGAUCAGCCACCAGCCGUUGUCGGAUUUCCUGACCACCUCCACCACAACGCCGUUGUUCAGCGAGAGCUCAUCUGCCUUCUGAGCCUCAUAGGCCUGCACAACAAAGAACAGGCUGCCUGCAGAGAGAGGGAAGUUGGGUUUGCUUUGCAGAGAAUAUGUCCCCAUCCCUGUGACAGAGCAGGAGCGAGCAAGAGAUGUAGAGCUGGUGUCCCUGGAAUGAUUUGCACAGGUGAUCAGAAGAAUCACAGCCCCAGAGGUCCAAGCAGUGGUUAAAGCGGCGGGUUUUUCGCAGAACUCAUACUUUUGAAGGAGGAACGUGGUGUCCCAGGAAUCAGACGCAGACUUACCCUCCUCGUUGGAGCUCAGGGCGUUCUGGAUGUCCCUGUGGAUGUCGAUCUCCUCCAGGUAGGAGGCUGGGAACCAUGCAAUCUGCUUGUCUGCAUUUUCUACCAGCCACCACCCUGCAGCAAACAGAAAAUAAAAAGGUUUUAACAGCCUGCAAGUAGACCAUUGACCUUAAUCCCCCGAGAAUAUCAUUCUUUCCUCACAUGUAAAUCCAGGUGAACGCAGGACAUACAAUACAAACACCCCGCUCACCCGCAAUGCUCCAACCCAGCACUUGCCAAGCUGUGAAUCAAUCUGCACCAUCCAUCCCGAAACUGGAGAAUUCCCGUCACACGUACCCGUCACGUCCUUGAUUAACACUUCAACAAUUUCCUUUGUAGCGACUUUGAAAGGCUUGUUCUUGGUGUCCUUGGUUUCGAAGGGCUCGAUGCAGCGGUAGCUCUGGGACGCCUGGGGGUGGGUGAUAUGGGAGAGCUGCUGCUGGGACCGGCUCUGCUUUUCCCCUCCCAUUUCCGAAGGCAUGAUAACGACACUGAAAAGUAAAGCUUCAGAUUGGUUUAUGGAAAACUCACACGGAAGGUUGAAUUUAGUAUUAAUUUGGGUAAAACCGUCUAUGCUGUAGGCUAAGAAAUGACAUAAACAUGCAUUAAAGCAUUCAGGAGAAUCUCCCUGGCAUUAACAUUUGCUUCAUGUCUACCCGUAUUCUAUAACAUUUCUGUUUCAUGAAGACACAUACAAAGAAAAUACACGGCUAUGACUUCAUACCUGUUUUCAGGAAAGGAGGGAUCCAGGUCUUGGGUCUGUGCCUUGAAAAACUGAAUUACAUCUUCCCCCUGGGAGAUUUUAGGGUCUGUUUUCAGCAGCUCCUGGGAAUAAGUUUCCAGCAGUUUCAGAACCUCCAGGCACCUGUUUGGCUUCCUGCUCUUCCUCUGCUUCACGUUUGCAUCUUUACAAUAACGAGCAAAGUCGGUGUAAGACACAACGGAUCUGGGUGCCCUGAGAGCAGCAUCUUCUGCCUGAACACGGGGGUGUCCUCACCCCCCACCCCUCUCCGCACAAACCCAAACUAAAAAGCCAAGACAGUAGCUGCCUCAACCUCCCUGGCAUUUUUAAUAGUGCCUGAUACAAUUUUUGAAUAGCUGCGAUUUUUAUUUAUUCACAUUUAAAUGUUGCAAGGAGCUCUGGGCCACUAUUUAAAGUGUAAUGUUAAUUUACCAAGUGCAAUUAUCUAUUAAAAAUAAGUCUUUCUGA